UCCUGUUUCCAUUGUGCGGAACGUCCCCGG
This 30-nucleotide non-coding RNA is filed under the name Rattus norvegicus (Norway rat). The record is from RNAcentral. Lineage: Eukaryota; Metazoa; Chordata; Mammalia; Rodentia; Muridae.